Molecule: long non-coding RNA, 647 nt
Organism: Rhododendron vialii
Lineage: Eukaryota; Viridiplantae; Streptophyta; Magnoliopsida; Ericales; Ericaceae
Exons: 2
Source: RefSeq, a predicted model, not a curated record
AUCAAAAAAUUAUUUGCUUUGACUUCAGAGGAAAAAAUCAACCUGCUUAUAGAUACUGAGUCCCCAGAAGAUACUUUUGCAUGUCGACGUUGGAUCGCGUUGAGGGCAAUGUUGCCAUUAGGUAUGCUUUCAUGAUAUGAUAUUGACAAGACGAACGAAUUGCCGACGAGAGCGAAGGCGUGCUUCGAUCCGGCGACGGAGAAGGUCCGGAGAUCCGAGGGCGAGCAGAAGGCGAAGUUGGAGUACGCGAGGUCUUUGGCCGGCGUGUUGGUGACGAUCAUCGUCGCCAUCGAUCCGAACCCCGAUGAUGAUCUCCCCGCCAUUUCUGGAAGAUCGAUGAAAGCUUCGAAUUUUUUUUUUUUUUUUUCCCCGUGCGGUUUGGUUGGAAGGGUCUGAGAGAUGGCGGUGAAAUUACGGGUGUUUAUUCACGGCUGAGCCGGUGGACGGGUGGAGGCCCGAGGCUGGAUGCAGGUGUGAGAAAAUAAAAUAAAAAAAAAAAUUCGAUCGCUUGUUUUGAAAAUUUAACGAAUUUUCGAAGAUUUUUUUCAAACUUAUUUUAUUUAGAAGACAAGUUAAUUUGAGAUGAGCUUCAAUUGAACUACACAUGAAUUGAUCUCGAGCGACUUGAAUUUUUUUUUGUUUUUCAU